AUUGAACGCUGGCGGCAGGCCUAACACAUGCAAGUCGAGCGAGAGGCGGACGGGUGAGUAAUGUAUGGGGACUGCCCGAUAGAGGGGGAUAACUAAUGGAAACGGUGGCUAAUACCGCAUACUAUCGGAUAACCCAUAUGGGAUUAGCUAGUAGGUGGGGUAACGUCUCACCUAGGCGACGAGCUCUAGCUGGUCUGAGAUGAUUAUCAGCCACACGUGGACUUAUACACGUCCCAGACCCCUACGGAGGCAGCAUGUGGGAAUAUUUCCCAAUGGGCGCAAGCCUGAUGCAGCCAUGCCGCGUGUAUGAAGAAGGCCUUCGGUUUGUAAAGUACGUUCAGCGGGGAGGCGUUACCCGCAGAAGAAGCACCGGCUAACUCCGUGCCAGCAGCCGCGGUAAUAC
This 403-nucleotide ribosomal RNA is filed under the name uncultured bacterium. RNAcentral's name for it is "partial 16S ribosomal RNA". It matches the Rfam family "Bacterial small subunit ribosomal RNA", at positions 30 to 526 of the family's 1533-position model. The record is from RNAcentral.